GGGUGCGUAGCUCAGUUGGUAGAGCACUGCCUUUGCAAGGCAGGGGUCGCAGGUUCGAAACCUGUCGCAUCCA
RNAcentral lists this transfer RNA (73 nucleotides) under Chlamydomonas priscui. RNAcentral's name for it is "Chlamydomonas sp. UWO 241 tRNA-Ala". It matches the Rfam family "tRNA". From Rfam's summary of the family: Transfer RNA (tRNA) molecules are approximately 80 nucleotides in length. Lineage: Eukaryota; Viridiplantae; Chlorophyta; Chlorophyceae; Chlamydomonadales; Chlamydomonadaceae. The record is from RNAcentral.